UACGUAGGGUGCGAGCGUUGUCCGGAAUUAUUGGGCGUAAAGAGCUUGUAGGCGGUUUGUCGCGUCUGCCGUGAAAACCCGGGGCUUAACCCUGGGCUUGCAGUGGAUACGGGCAGGCUAGAGGCAGGUAGGGGAGAAUGGAAUUCCCGGUGUAGCGGUGAAAUGCGCAGAUAUCGGGAGGAACACCGGUGGCGAAGGCGGUUCUCUGGGCCUGACCUGACGCUGAGGAGCGAAAGCGUGGGGAGCGAACAGG
Molecule: ribosomal RNA, 253 nt
Filed under: uncultured bacterium
Lineage: Bacteria
Description: partial 16S ribosomal RNA
Rfam family: Bacterial small subunit ribosomal RNA
Source: RNAcentral